UUACGGCUAUAUCACGUUCAAACACCGUUUCUCGUACGAUCUCUGAAAUAAAGCCCCGUCGAGCCUGGUCAAUACCUAGAUGGGUGACUGCUAGAGAAUACCAGGAGCUGUAAG
This is a non-coding RNA of Acanthosepion pharaonis, 114 nucleotides long. The record is from the annotation of a GenBank genome assembly. Lineage: Eukaryota; Metazoa; Mollusca; Cephalopoda; Sepiida; Sepiidae.